GGGGCUGUACUGGUUUCGACGGGGAUUUAGAAGCCCGGAUAGCCAUCCGCGGACCGUGACCGCGUAUCAAAACGGACUUAAAUAUAAACGCAGACGAUUAUCAGUUAGCGUACGCAGCAUAAGCUGCUGUCGGCCUUGGGUUGCUCACAGCCUGGGAUACCGGCAUUAUGAACUGUGAGGAACUCUCCCGCCAAAGCUUUGAGGCAGGAGGGGUAUUAUGAAGCUACCGAGAGCGUGAGCCCGUUGCCGGGCGCAUGCUUGGGGGAAUCAAAGUACGGCAACUGUGAUGGAAGAAGUCCUGGUGGAAGAGUUUUCGGACAGGGGUUCGACUCCCCUCAGCUCCAU
This 345-nucleotide transfer-messenger RNA is filed under the name bovine gut metagenome. It matches the Rfam family "transfer-messenger RNA". Rfam says of the family: Bacterial tmRNA, also known as 10Sa RNA or SsrA, is named for its dual tRNA and mRNA-like properties. Its role is to liberate the mRNA from a stalled ribosome. To accomplish this part of the tmRNA is used as a reading frame that ends in a translation stop signal. The record is from RNAcentral.